CGUAGGUGGCAAGCGUUGUCCGGAUUUAUUGGGUUUAAAGGGUGCGUAGGCGGCUUAUUAAGUCAGUGGUGAAAUACUCCAGCUUAACUGGAGGGGUGCCAUUGAUACUGAUGAGCUUGAGUACAGACGAGGUAGGCGGAAUUGACGGUGUAGCGGUGAAAUGCUUAGAUAUCGUCAAGAACACCUAUAGCGAAGGCAGCUUACUAGGCUGUAACUGACGCUGAGGCACGAAAGUGUGGGAUCAAACAGGAUUAGAUACCCUGGUAGUCCACACCGUAAACGUUGAUUACUCGCUGUUUGCGAUAUACUGCAAGCGGCUUAGCGCAAGCGAUAAGUAAUCCACCUGGGGAGUACGCCGGCAACGGUG
Molecule: ribosomal RNA, 367 nt
Filed under: uncultured organism
Description: bacterial SSU rRNA
Rfam family: Bacterial small subunit ribosomal RNA
Source: RNAcentral